This 460-nucleotide ribosomal RNA is filed under the name uncultured bacterium. Its description in RNAcentral is "partial 16S ribosomal RNA". It matches the Rfam family "Bacterial small subunit ribosomal RNA", at positions 338 to 795 of the family's 1533-position model. The record is from RNAcentral.
CCUACGGGAGGCAGCAGUGAGGAAUAUUGGUCAAUGGGCUUACGCCUGAACCAGCCAAGUCGCGUGAGGGAAGACUGCCCUAUGGGUUGUAAACCUCUUUUGUCAGGGAGCAAUUGGCGCUACGUGUAGCGUUAUCGAUAGUACCUGCAGACAAAGCAUCGGCUAACUCCGUGCCAGCAGCCGCGGUCAUACGGAGGAUGGGAGCGUUAUCCGGAUUUAUUGGGUUAAAAGGGUGCGUAGGCGGAAUGCCAAGUCAGCGGUAAAAUCGCGGGGCUCAACCUCGCUCAGCCGUUGAAACUGGCGGUCUUGAGUGGGCGAGAAGUAUGCGGAAUGCGUGGUGUAGCGGUGAAAUGCAUAGAUAUCACGCAGAACUCCGAUUGCGAAGGCAGCAUACCGGCGCCCAACUGACGCUGAAGCACGAAAGCGUGGGUAUCGAACAGGAUUAGAUACCCCGGUAGUC